GAGAACGGAAGGGCCGAAAAACACCAUUCACCAAGCAAAAAAUAGAUUCCAAUAUUAAUUUAAUAUUCUUCAAAUUGCAAUAGGUCCAUUUCACAUCACGAACUUCCACAUUAAAUAAACAUAUCUAUUUAUCAAAGUACGAACACCGCAAAACUUCUGUUUUUCUUUUUAAUCAAAAUAAAUGUUAAUUAUCGUUGGAGUUCAGAUUUACUGCAAACUAAAAAAUAAUUAGAGAUCUUACAGCGGGUCUGAGAACGAAGCGAACUAAGCGAGAAUCGACUCCAUAACGGCUAUUGUUCUUUAAUUUCUUCACGGUGCCGGAGAUUUGAGAACGACUCCUUCGUCGUUGUUGAGAUGUGGCGCCACCUUCGUCCUCCGUUUAGCCGCCGCCUCCACCGCCAUUACCGGGAUUCCAAGAUCGAGAAAGAAGAGAAGUGGUGGAGAUGAGUGUCGAUGAGAGAACGGUUGUUGGUAUAAAAUAUGCGGCUAGGGUUUAUUUUAACAAAAUUUGGCAACUAAGGGUAAUAUAGGUUUAGCACCGAAUAAUUAUGUAAAUAAUAAUUAAAAUUAAAUAAUGGAGGGGGUGUCACUAAUAUUGUAAAAGGGGUUGGAUCCAUUCUAAUUUACCCUAAUAUAGUGGGGGGUUCUCACUAAUAAUCCCUUGUUUUAAUGAGGUACUUGAGUCUGUCGGGCCGAAAUUCUAGUAGCCACGUGAUCAAAUAUUACAUGUGACAAGUCACAAAUUAAUGAAAACAUCAUCAACAAAGACAUUGCAAUGUGUGCUAAGUAAACUAUAAUGUUUAUAUAAGUGAUUAAUUUAUCAAUCCGUUAUUAUAUUUCUUUUUUUUUUGAAAGCGUUAUUAUAUAACAAAAUCUAUUGGUUCCGAAACUGUUGUUUGUAAACACUUUUCUGAAAUUCUAAUUUAGGUGCAAUUUUUUAGGGCUACUUACAGUCCUAAUGUAUUGGAAAUUUGGGAUGGGAAUACAUAUCCCUAAUGUUACAAAGUAACACUUGACCCCCUAGAAUUUUGCCAUGGUUUAAUUUGUUUUUAUCUCCCUUUUUUCACUUUUGCAAGCAAAUGAUACAACUACCCUUCAGUAAAAAAUGUAUCAUUUUGGUUUUAUUUAUUUUUUUGGUUUAAAUACAUAUUUGCAAAGUAUAUGUUAUGUAACAUCCAUCAUCUUAAUUCUUUUAAUACCUAAACAAGUACAUUUAAUUUAUGAUCUAAAUCUUAAAAUACAUUAAUACUAUUAAUAAAGAAUUGUGAAACAACUAUCACUAAAAUCUUUAAUAAUUUCACAAUAUGUUGAGUUCCUAAAAACUUUCUAUUUAUUAUUUCGCAAAAUGGUUGAAAAGAAAAAGAAUUGCAAAUUCAACUAAUUUAUUAAAUAGGAUAAACUGAAAGAGAGUGCCCUAAUUUUUUUUUAAUCAAAAUUGGCCCUAUAUACAAUACUAAUAGGUGAAAUAGUGAGAGAUAAAACUCAAGUUAAUUAGCCUUCUAGAAUAGUUAAAAAUAGUUAGUGCAAAUGUAGACACAUGAUAAUUGUCACUACAAAUAAAAUUGUUAUUUACUUAAUUAAUUUUUAUUUUAACUAUUCAUUAAAAAAAAGUUUUUUAAUAUUUUCCUCAAGUUGGUUGAAUUUAGAUGGCAAAAAGUCAUUUCAUUUGUGGAUUUGUAUGCUUAAUUAUUAUUAUUUUGAAGAACAAUUAGAUAUAUUUUUUACUAAUAAUAAAGAGAAAAUAUUGAAAUCAUUAUUCUCUUUUUUUCUCUUCGAGAGAAUGACUUUUUCGACGUGUGAAAUUGUAUUUAAAAUAAAUGAUUCGAAGACAAUAUGUUUUAUAUCAACUGUUAUAUAAUGGUUGAAGCUUGAGGGUAUUAUCGGAAGAAAAGACAAAAAACUAUAAAAGCAUAGAAAAAAACAAUGCCAUAUCAGCAAAAUUAGUCUCAAGGGGUAAGUGUUACUUUUGUAAUAAUAGAGGGAAAAAUUAUACCACCACCAUAUUUCAUGGGUGUAAACUAUAAUUAGCUUAAUUUUUUAUUGAUCCAUGACUCUAUGCACGUGUCUCAAUGCUAUUGCCUGGAAGAGAACCUGAUAAUCAUACGUGUCAAGAGUUGGACCUAAUCAAUAAUCAUGAUUCUUGAACCAGUUAUUAUUGGAGAUUGAUUAGUUUCAAGGCUUACCUCAAUUAUAAGUUGUCUGUCUUUUAACUGAGAUUUGCGUAUACAAACCUAAAGAAAACUUUCAAUUCAAACACUCGUAGGAUUAUGUGCUAACCAAUCUCCUCUCUCUCUCUCUCUCUCUCUCUCUCUCUCUCUCUCUCUCUCUCUCUCUCGCCCAGACCCAAAAUCUCUCUCAGCUUUUCUAUCUUUCAUAGGCAGGGCUGACAAGCAUAAAAGAAGUAAAUGUACAAGGAAAAAUUAAAUGACACAUUAUUUAUUAUUCAGCCAAUAAAAGAAAAGCUUUUUUCUCUCUCACUCUCUCUGCAAUAUCUACACACACAUACAGAGAUAAGCAACACACACGGUACGGUAGAACAUAUACAUAUAUAGAAAAUAUGCACACAAAUCCAAUGAAGUGGUCAAAAUGGCCACAUAAAAAAUGAAUCUUUUAGAGAAACGCCAUUGUUGUCAUGAAAAUGGUUAUGGCCAUCGAUAAUCGUGCCGCCAAACCUCUGUUUGCUGCAUUGGAUUUGGGAGGUGUCGGCUCUCCUAGUCCUACAAGUGUUUGAAUUGAAAGUUUUCUUUAGGUUAUAUUAUUAUUAUAUAUGGUCCAGAGAUGCAAUUAAUUAAUAAUAAUAAAAAAAAAUAAGAUAUGAGUUUUGUUAAAUUUAUGAAAUUCAAUGUACCUUCUUCAGCACUAGUGUUGAAGUAGAACUGAGUAUCACCGUACAACACGAAACAGCCCACUCCAUAAAUAUCCCAACUCCGUUCGCGGAAAACAAUUGUCUGAUAGCCUGAUUUGUUUAACAAACUCUCCAAACAACCCCUACAAUCGGACUUCCCCAAGUCUCUGGUGCACUGAGUCAACCCAUACCUCUUCCCGCCCAAGCCGUCAUCAAUCACUCCUUUCGCAAACAUCAAACUCUCCUCGGGAGCCGCCGCCGCCAGCUCCAUCAUCAUCAUCAUCCCCUUCGACGCAACCGCCGCCUGUUCGUACGAUCUAGAGAUGUUCAAUGAUGAUAUCGCAGCACUCGUACGCUCCCAAACGCCGUAGAACCUCUCGUUCGAGUACCGCAGGAAACACCACUUCUGCCAUAUCAUGACGGUUUUGCCCUCCUCGCCGCACGAGUGCCUCUUCAAAUUGAACGAAUCUCUGGUGCAGUUAGUGCAGUUAGACUUUGAAAUAUCGCCUCUGCACUGUAUGAGGCCGUACACUCUAUCGGGACCUUUUUCCCCUGCCUCCGCUAUGUAAUAGCCGUUGUUCAGGAUCACGUUUGCUUCCAGCUUUCUGAACAUGCUGUUUCGAUUUUCCGUCCACGUGGGAGAACUUUCAGCUUCUGACGGCGGCAAGCACAAAGCCCCCUCGAGUCCGUUGCUGUCCGCAUAGCAACGACGACACCAGAAAAUCAUGAAAAAUGUUAGGAAAAUCAUUGUCGAUGAUGACGCUGAACUUAAUUUAGAGGCCAUCGAUCUUUGAUUAUUGUUAUUGGCGUUGUUGAGGAAAAUGGAUUACUUAUAAUGAUGAGUUUACUCCAUAUGUAUGUAUUUAUUUUAUAAGUUUGUCUAAUAUUCGUGCUUGCAAAGGGUUCGAGUUGGACGGUUCCACGCGUAGUGUGCAAGGUGUUGCAAACUCCCACCGACUAUUAAUUUAAGGGGGUAGUGUUCGUAAGAAUGCACUGUCUUUACCUGGUUUUUCAGUUUAAACAUCGUCAAAUGGUCCACUAAACUUGUAUUUUGAAUUCUCAAAUGGAGAUCUUACCUAUUUCUUACAAUAGUAACCAACACUGCAUCCUUUUUUGUUUCCCUAAGUCAACUUGCCGCCAAAUGUGGUUGACUAUUUGAGUAAUGGGCUAUUUGUAUCUUUUGUUUUAAUGGGCUAUUUCAGUCCUUUUGGCCCAAAUUUCUAGUAGCCACAUCAAGAAAGACCCUGCAAAGUGUGCAUUUAAUUAAUUAAUUAUUUAUGAAUCCAUUAUUGGUUCCAAAACUAUUGAUUUAUAAAACACUUGACUGAAAUUCUAAUUUCCUGAAAGAGACGAGCAAAUUGGUGCAAAUAUAUUUUAUUGAUCCAUGACUCCACGUGUCUCAAAGCUAUUGCCUGGAAGAGAACCUAAUAAUCAUACGUGUCAAUAGUUGGAGCACUGAUUGGCUGAGACCAUAUCCAAAGUCAGAUAUAAAGAUAAGGUGAUUUCUGCAUCACAUGAGUAUACCUUUUUAACUUAUAUCCUCCAUAUUAUAUCCUUCAUUUUCCCUUAUUUUCGCCUGACAUAAUUUCUAGGUUUUAAUUAGAGAUACACAGUUCAAGUAAUGGCUCAAGCUAUGGCGUCGAUGGCUGGCUUACGUGGCUCUUCUCAAGCCGUCCUGGAAGGGAGCUUCCAAUCC
RNAcentral lists this long non-coding RNA (4541 nucleotides) under Erythranthe guttata (spotted monkey flower). RNAcentral's name for it is "long non-coding RNA (EGUT_LNC002436)". The record is from RNAcentral. Lineage: Eukaryota; Viridiplantae; Streptophyta; Magnoliopsida; Lamiales; Phrymaceae.